GAUGAACGCUGGCGGCGUGCCUAAUACAUGCAAGUCGAGCGAACAGACGAGGAGCUUGCUCCUCUGACGUUAGCGGCGGACGGGUGAGUAACACGUGUAUAACCUACCUAUAAGACUGGGAUAACUUCGGGAAACCGGAGCUAAUACCGGAUAAUAUAUUGAACCGCAUGGUUCAAUAGUGAAAGACGGUUUUGCUGUCACUUAUAGAUGGAUCCGCGCCGCAUUAGCUAGUUGGUAAGGUAACGGCUUACCAAGGCGACGAUGCGUAGCCGACCUGAGAGGGUGAUCGGCCACACUGGAACUGAGACACGGUCCAGACUCCUACGGGAGGCAGCAGUAGGGAAUCUUCCGCAAUGGGCGAAAGCCUGACGGAGCAACGCCGCGUGAGUGAUGAAGGUCUUCGGAUCGUAAAACUCUGUUAUUAGGGAAGAACAAAUGUGUAAGUAACUAUGCACGUCUUGACGGUACCUAAUCAGAAAGCCACGGCUAACUAUGUG
RNAcentral lists this ribosomal RNA (497 nucleotides) under uncultured bacterium. RNAcentral describes it as "partial 16S ribosomal RNA". It matches the Rfam family "Bacterial small subunit ribosomal RNA", at positions 28 to 507 of the family's 1533-position model. The record is from RNAcentral.